This 77-nucleotide transfer RNA is filed under the name Paraphysomonas imperforata. The record is from RNAcentral. Lineage: Eukaryota; Chrysophyceae; Chromulinales; Paraphysomonadaceae.
CUUCUGCUUUUUACUUUUGUUUUGGUGCCCAGGAGAGGACUCGAACCUCCACGGAGUUACCCGCUAGUACCUGAAAC